GCCGAAGUGGUGAAACUGGUAGACGCACCGGACUCAAAAUCCGGCGGGGGCAACCUCAUAAGGGUUCGAUUCCCUUCUUCGGCA
Molecule: transfer RNA, 84 nt
Filed under: Spirochaetae bacterium HGW-Spirochaetae-5
Lineage: Bacteria; Pseudomonadati; Spirochaetota
Description: tRNA-Leu
Rfam family: tRNA
About the family: Transfer RNA (tRNA) molecules are approximately 80 nucleotides in length.
Source: RNAcentral